RNAcentral lists this ribosomal RNA (242 nucleotides) under Bacillus mycoides. Its description in RNAcentral is "16S rRNA. Bacterial SSU". It matches the Rfam family "Bacterial small subunit ribosomal RNA", at positions 1 to 229 of the family's 1533-position model. The record is from RNAcentral. Lineage: Bacteria; Bacillati; Bacillota; Bacilli; Caryophanales; Bacillaceae.
CUUUAUUGGAGAGUUUGAUCCUGGCUCAGGAUGAACGCUGGCGGCGUGCCUAAUACAUGCAAGUCGAGCGAAUGGAUUAAGAGCUUGCUCUUAUGAAGUUAGCGGCGGACGGGUGAGUAACACGUGGGUAACCUACCCAUAAGACUGGGAUAACUCCGGGAAACCGGGGCUAAUACCGGAUAAUAUUUUGAACUGCAUAGUUCGAAAUUGAAAGGCGGCUUCGGCUGUCACUUAUGGAUGGA